RNAcentral lists this transfer RNA (75 nucleotides) under Gordonia jacobaea. RNAcentral's name for it is "tRNA-Gln". It matches the Rfam family "tRNA". Rfam says of the family: Transfer RNA (tRNA) molecules are approximately 80 nucleotides in length. Their secondary structure includes four short double-helical elements and three loops (D, anti-codon, and T loops). Further hydrogen bonds mediate the characteristic L-shaped molecular structure. tRNAs have two regions of fundamental functional importance: the anti-codon, which is responsible for specific mRNA codon recognition, and the 3' end, to which the tRNAs corresponding amino acid is attached (by aminoacyl-tRNA synthetases). tRNAs cope with the degeneracy of the genetic code in two manners: having more than one tRNA (with a specific anti-codon) for a particular amino acid; and 'wobble' base-pairing, i.e. permitting non-standard base-pairing at the 3rd anti-codon position. Lineage: Bacteria; Bacillati; Actinomycetota; Actinomycetes; Mycobacteriales; Gordoniaceae. The record is from RNAcentral. RNAcentral also lists the same sequence under 11 other names.
UCCCCCAUGGUGUAAUCGGCAACACUUCUGAUUUUGGUUCAGGCAUUCCAGGUUCGAGUCCUGGUGGGGGAGCAA